This 412-nucleotide ribosomal RNA is filed under the name Fejervarya limnocharis (Boie's wart frog). RNAcentral's name for it is "partial 16S ribosomal RNA". It matches the Rfam family "Bacterial large subunit ribosomal RNA", at positions 1835 to 2459 of the family's 2925-position model. The record is from RNAcentral. Lineage: Eukaryota; Metazoa; Chordata; Amphibia; Anura; Dicroglossidae.
CUUGACUUCCAUAAGAGGUCCAGCCUGCCCAGUGAUACUAUUAAACGGCCGCGGUACCCUGACCGUGCGAAGGUAGCAUAAUAACUUGUUCUUUAAAUGGGGACUAGCAUGAACGGCAUCACGAGGGUCUCACUGUCUCCUUUUUCUAAUCAGUGAAACUGAUCUCCCCGUGAAGAAGCGGGGAUAAAAAUAUAAGACGAGAAGACCCCAUGGAGCUUUAAACCCAAUAGACACCUCUGACUAAUCUAACCCAAAACACUUCUUAAGUUCUGUCUAUUGGUUUUAGGUUGGGGUGACCACGGAGUACAAUAAAUCCUCCAUGACGUACGGGACUUCCCUCUUAUCCUUGAACAACAUUUCUAAGAAUCAACAAAUUGACGUUUGAUGAUCCAAUAUAUUGAUCAACGGACCA